AGAAGUUAGUCUUAACUUUGGCAGUGGUGAAGAUGCCUUGGCUGCCCUCAACCCCAUUCAAAAGUCCAAUGGAAGGGACUUGUCUCCUGCUCCACCUUUUCCAUCAAUUGGAGGAAAUCCAUUUGGAUAGUUUCUUGAACAUAUUGUUCUUACGACGUGGUAAAAUCUUGUUUUUGAACCCUUUAUGGCGGCUAUGUGCACGUUUAGAAGUUACUUUUAAGUAACUUUUAGUCUUAGCAAAACAUCCUGGUGAAACAUAAAUACUGGAGGAGCACAGGACACUGUAUGGAUAGAUUGAUAGAUAGAUCAAGGUGUAUAUCAAGGGAUAAUAGUGUAAUUUUAUGAAAGUUUGUGAUUCAAAAUAUACAUAUAUCAUUCUGUGUAAUUUCUGAUUUAUUUGUUGGCUAUUGACACUUCGCCCGAAUGGUCCCAAACCACAGUACCUGUGCCAUAGUUUCCGACCCCAGCUGAGAGCAGCAUCUGUAGUUGUUGUGUGUUACUGUCCAUACCAUAAUUAUGCAUUUUAACAUCUGAUUAAGACUUCUUAAGGUUGAAUUCGAGAAGGUGUUUGGUGAAAUCUUGAAAGCGCGCGUGCUGCAUCAUUGACAAGUAAUAAUGUAGGGAGAAAGAGUAUUAUCCCAUGAGGAAUGAACCUUAAAUAAAAUCAUAUUACUUCAUUAUCAAAUUUGAAUGCUGUUGUAAUACCUAAAUAUUGAUUUGUUUGUUUAUAAAUUAUCCUACUAAUUAUCUAAGAAAUAAAUAAAAUAUGUAUGAGAAUGAAGGGUUGAAAUUCUGAAUCCACCAAUUAUUAUCGUAUUUUCAAUUCUCGACCUAUAUUAUUUAGUGUAAUUUGUGUAUCCUUAACAAUCGAUAAUUCAAUUAUGUUAAACUAUAUCUUCUGAAGUAAGUAAAACUUAUUCUAAGCAGGACUUGAUGAUAUUCAUAUUCCGAAUUCAUAUGCUAAGUAAUGCAUUCAAUUACACGAUUGUCGAUAUGAUUGCACAGCCAUAAAUGUCAUCCAUAACAUCUAUUGAUCCGCAUAUUGAAAUUGCAAUGUUCUAAACUUAUCACGAACCUUCUGAAAACAUAAUAAGCAAUUAAUUUCCCAAAUGACACGCAAGCAUUCAAGUAAUACAAGAAGGCCUACAAGAUCAAUCAAAGACACAAAUUAAUUAAGUUAUAACAACAAUAUAUUUGGCCCAUAGACAUAUCUUAGCUCGGCUCACCUUUGGACGGUUCUAUGGCACAAUACGGCCCACUGAGCCCCCACAAACCCUGAGUUGGUCCAGGCCCAUUAGCGGCUAAGGUCAUUCUAGGCCUGGCCAAUUGACUACUUAAACGCAUGGGAUAAUAGAGUAAUAUUAUUUAUUACCACCUUUUCCAUCAAUUGGAGGAAAUCCAUUUGGAUAGUUUCUCGAACAUAUUGUUCUUACGACAUGGUAAAAUCUUGUUUUUGAACCUUUUACACUAGGUGACUAUGUGCACGUUAGAAGUUACUUUUAAGUAACUUUUAGGCUUAGCAAAACAUCCUUAAGUUUCAUGGUGCGGGAGAAGUUGGUACCGUGAAACAUAAAUACCGGAGGAGCACAGGACACUGUAUAGAUAGAUAGAUAAAGGUGUACAAUAGUAUAAUUUCAUGAAAGUGUGUGAUUCAAAUUACAAUAGACUGAUAUAUAUCAUUUUGAAUUCGAGAAUUGGUGUUCGGUGAAAUCCCGAAAGCAUAGUGCAUCAUUGACAAGUAAUUAUGUAGUGG
This 1753-nucleotide long non-coding RNA is filed under the name Olea europaea (common olive). RNAcentral's name for it is "long non-coding RNA (OEUR_LNC002854)". The record is from RNAcentral. Lineage: Eukaryota; Viridiplantae; Streptophyta; Magnoliopsida; Lamiales; Oleaceae.